ACAGACCACUGAGGGGCGGAUCUCCGUAGCUACGUCACAACGCGCUCCAACAGCUCCAAGCUCCAACCUAACCUCCAAAUAUUAUCAAAUCCAAGCUAGCUGUGUACGUGUCUCUCUUCUAUCCGCUAACUUUAUCGUUAUUCAUAAACAAUCAAGAUGAUCACUGAUGUACAAUUGGCUGUAUUCUCCAACGUCCUUGGAGUCACGCUGUUCUUCUUGGUGUUUCUGUUCCACUACAUAAAUGCCAACUAUUCGAAAUGAGAGCGAUGAAUACAGGAAAAAUGGUUUUUCGACCUACGGACAAGUUAAUUUUCCGGACGAGCUAAGAUCCAUGUCGAUCCGGCGAAGAAUCCAAAAUUCCAUGGACAUGUAAACUUGUGCAAGAGAAUAAAAUUUCUAACGAUUUCCAAAAGUA
Long non-coding RNA from Venturia canescens, 415 nucleotides. RefSeq lists it as uncharacterized. The transcript has 2 exons. NCBI's taxonomy places the organism in Eukaryota, Metazoa, Arthropoda, Insecta, Hymenoptera, Ichneumonidae. The record is from RefSeq and is a predicted model, not a curated record.